This 240-nucleotide unclassified non-coding RNA is filed under the name soil metagenome. RNAcentral describes it as "partial contains 5.8S ribosomal RNA, internal transcribed spacer 2, and large subunit ribosomal RNA". The record is from RNAcentral.
AACCAUUCUCACCUGCGGCUAGACCUGCGGAAGGAUCAUUAACAAUUAUCCAAAACUAUGGAUAAUUUAUCCAUAUCCACCUUGUGUGAACCAUUGAUUGUUGUCGUUGGCAGGUAGUCUGGUGUGAUCAUUCACACUGGCGGAGGGGUUUGCAAAAACAAACCUCAGCCUGCCAACCUUUUUUGUCUAAUCGCGUUAAACUGUACUUAGUCUGAAACAUGUUAGUUUAAUAACAAAUUA